Long non-coding RNA from Neltuma alba, 825 nucleotides. RefSeq lists it as uncharacterized. NCBI's taxonomy places the organism in Eukaryota, Viridiplantae, Streptophyta, Magnoliopsida, Fabales, Fabaceae. The transcript has 2 exons. The record is from RefSeq and is a predicted model, not a curated record.
GACUUAUAUCCUCACAUCAAUCAUAUAACCCAUUUGAGGCAACUACUGCUGCAACUAGAGGAGGGAGACUAGGUAGAGGACGUGGCAGAGGAAGAUCACAAGAUGAGUGUAGUCACUGCCAUCGCCGGGGCCACAAGAGAGAACAGUGUUUUGAGUUGGUGGGAUAUCCUCCUAACUUCAAAGGUCGAAGGGUUCCAGCGCCUCAAUUGAACCAAGCAAUAGCAAAGCCCAAAUCUAGUUCAUCUGCAACUUCAGCAAAUCUUGGGACACAGCCCUCCAUUACACAGCAGCAGUAUAAUAAGAUACUGCAACUACUCAAAACUGAUGCUAACGAAGAAGUAAUCGGCACGGCUAACUAUAUUGAGGAACACAUUUCUGGAGAUUUUAACUGGGAAGUCUCUAGUGAUUGGUAGAAUCUGUAGUGGACUGUACUUGAUUGGGAAAAUUUUAAAUUUGAACAAUGCUCUUAUGAAUUUUCAGUCCAAUGGGACAAAGAAGGAGAUAUCUCAACUGUGGCACUAUAGGCUAGGGCAUGCACCUUUAGAAGUUCUCAAGCAUCUAGAUAUGAUAAAGAAAGAUAUUAUAGAUUUUUCCAGUCCCAAAUGUGAUGUUUGUCCUCUUGCUAAGCAAGCAAGACUCCCUUUUUCUCAUUCUAUUUCUGUUACUUCUUGUUGCUUUGAAUUGAUACAUGUUGAUAUUUGGGGUCCCUAUAGGGAGCCUACCUAUAAAGGACAGAUAUUUUCUUACUAUUGUUGAUGAUUUCUCCAAAUGUACUUGGACUUUCUUGAUGAUCAAUAAAAAUGAUAGUUUUCAGCUGCUGUUAAA